Molecule: non-coding RNA, 76 nt
Organism: Mollisia scopiformis
Lineage: Eukaryota; Fungi; Ascomycota; Leotiomycetes; Helotiales; Mollisiaceae
Source: the annotation of a RefSeq genome assembly
GGCCUUUUAGUAGUGGUAGCAAGGAGGUUGUCGAUUCGACAUACCUCUUGGCGGGGUUCGAAUCCUUGAAAGGCCU